This 303-nucleotide ribosomal RNA is filed under the name uncultured bacterium. RNAcentral's name for it is "bacterial SSU rRNA". It matches the Rfam family "Bacterial small subunit ribosomal RNA", at positions 355 to 655 of the family's 1533-position model. The record is from RNAcentral.
UGAGGAAUAUUGGUCAAUGGGCUUACGCCUGAACCAGCCAAGUCGCGUGAGGGAAGACUGCCCUAUGGGUUGUAAACCUCUUUUGUCAGGGAGCAACGCCGGCUACGUGUAGCCGGACUGAGAGUACCUGAAGAAAAAGCAUCGGCUAACUCCGUGCCAGCAGCCGCGGUAAUACGGAGGAUGCGAGCGUUAUCCGGAUUUAUUGGGUUUAAAGGGUGCGUAGGCGGAAUGCCAAGUCAGCGGUAAAAUCGCGGGGCUCAACCUCGCUCCGCCGUUGAAACUGGCGUUCUUGAGUGGGCGAGA